Molecule: long non-coding RNA, 1401 nt
Organism: Corythoichthys intestinalis (scribbled pipefish)
Lineage: Eukaryota; Metazoa; Chordata; Actinopteri; Syngnathiformes; Syngnathidae
Exons: 4
Source: RefSeq, a predicted model, not a curated record
CCAGGUAUAUGAGCGUUGCAUUUUGGGAAAUGAAGAUGCUAUGAACGCUAAUGGAGAAAACGCUAACGCUCGCGCGACCUCUUUCAAACCAAAGAAAAACUGACGAGUUCCAGACUGCUCUAAUCAGCGAAUUACAUCUGAGUUCUGUGUGAUACAAGUGUCUGACAGAAUUGAUGUCAAGGAGGAUUCGGCCUGAUUCAAUGAGGGAUUGAGGACCAAUUUUUUUCAACUUCAGCCAACUGUUGGAGCAUCACCCAAAGCAGAUAAGGUCGUGGAGGAAAAGACGUUAGUUUGACCAAUAAGCUACAUUGUAGCUUAUGACACAAUUGAAGUGGGCGUCAACUGUUCCUCCGGCUUUUGGCACAUUUAAAUGGAGGCCAGUAUCCGGACGAGUCCAGGUUACCUGCUGAUAUCGACAAAGAGAAGCACAGGAUAAAUUGCCACUCAGUGACGGUAUGAAUGUGGGUGCCAAUGGUCGUCUGUCUCUUUGUGUACCCUGUGAUUAAUCAUUUCAGCGUGCUGCCCGUCUUCCAUUGCAAGUAUUGGUGGCUCGGUGGUAGAGUUUUCGCACGCUGCGCGGGAACCCCGAGACUGAUGCCCGGGCACGCCAAUGCAUCUUGGGGUAGCCUUUGCAGCUAGCCUCGCAUCGGGGCAACAGUUCCGCUACGACAACGCGAGCAGACCAGGAUAUACGGUGUUGGAAAUGUCCCACACUACAACAAAUCAUUAUUUUAUCCACACUGGUUUGAGUGCAAUAUUGUUGUGGUUGGUUCGUUGUUUAAAAUGUGUAAAAGAAAUAAUGUUUGUUUUGCAUGUGGGAUGAGAAUUCAGUAAAACGGCAUGUGAGGGACUAACUUGUCCCCCCCCUCCACAGUACUUAAGUUACUGAAUAUGUAUAUAAAAAUGGAUCUUAAGCUACUAUACCGAGUGUGGUUUGAUUGUCAAUAUCAGUUUGCAUAUGACUGAUGAAAAAGGUAAAAUUUCAGAUUUGAAGAAGUCCAUUGGAACUGUUUUGAAAUAAAAAAAACCAUCCCACCUUGUUUCCAAUUGCCAAAUAUAUAUGCCUUGUAGACUGAAGUGCAAAUUGUGUUUAUUCACAGAUGCAAGACAGUGUUAAAGUAUAAGAAUAAAAUGUCGCAGUAAGGUUUAUUGACCACAUAUUAUAUGUACAUAAUAUAAUUAUAUAUAAGGAAUGUUUGUAUAUAUAAUUUAUGUUUGUACAUAUGAUGUAUGUGUGUAUGUGCAGGGUGAUUCAAAAACAAUGUGCCAAAAUCACACAUUUAUUCCUUUCAAAAUCAUUGACAUAGACUGAAAUGAUUAAUUAAAUUGUUAAUUUGAUAAGAAAGUCUCUUUAUCAAGUAAGUUAACAAAUUUAGUCAUAUCAGCUUGAUUGUCCGUGAU